RNAcentral lists this ribosomal RNA (467 nucleotides) under uncultured bacterium. Its description in RNAcentral is "bacterial SSU rRNA". It matches the Rfam family "Bacterial small subunit ribosomal RNA", at positions 331 to 795 of the family's 1533-position model. The record is from RNAcentral.
CCAGACUCCUACGGGAGGCAGCAGCGAGGAAUAUUGGUCAAUGGGCUUACGCCUGAACCAGCCAAGUCGCGUGAGGGAAGACUGCCCUAUGGGUUGUAAACCUCUUUUGUCGGGGAGCAAAUUCCGUUACGUGUAACGGAGUCGAGAGUACCCGAAGAAAAAGCAUCGGCUAACUCCGUGCCAGCAGCCGCGGUAAUACGGAGGAUGCGAGCGUUAUCCGGAUUUAUUGGGUUUAAAGGGUGCGCAGGCGGCGAGUUAAGUCAGCGGUAAAAUUUCGGGGCUCAACCCCGACAGGCCGUUGAAACUGGCUUGCUAGAGUGGGCGAGAAGUAUGCGGAAUGCGUGGUGUAGCGGUGAAAUGCAUAGAUAUCACGCAGAACUCCGAUUGCGAAGGCAGCAUACCGGCGCCCAACUGACGCUCAGGCACGAAAGCGUGGGUAUCGAACAGGAUUAGAUACCCCGGUAGAC